UGUAGUCUCGCACAGAUGCAUAUCAAUAAGCGGAGGAAAAGAAACUAACUAGGAUUCCCUCAGUAACGGCGAGUGAAGCGGGAAGAGCUCAAAUUUGAAAUCUUCAAGGUUCUACCUUGACGAAUUGUAGUUUAAAGAAGUGUUUUCUGUUGGAGUUUUGGUAAAAGUUCUUUGGAAUAGGACAUCAUAGAGGGUGAGAAUCCCGUAUUUGACCAUUAUUCCCAGCUUUGUGAUACACUUUCAAAGAGUCGGAUUGUUUGGGAAUGCAGUCCAAAAUGGGUGGUAAAUUUCAUCUAAAGCUAAAUACUGGCGAGAGACCGAUAGCGAACAAGUACCGUGAGGGAAAGAUGAAAAGAACUUUGAAAAGAGAGUUAAACAGUACGUGAAAUUGUCAAAAGGGAAGCGUUUGACACCAGUGUUGUUUUCUCGAAAAUCAAUUAAAAAAGGCAGGAUUUUGUGUUGUAUUGACUUUAUCAGCUUUCUGCACUCUUUUCUUGUCUUUUUUUAAUGCACUUUUCGUUUAACAAGUCAACAUCAAUUUCUUUUGUUGUAAAAGGGUCAUUGGAAGGUGGCUUUCUUUUCGGAGAAAGUGUUUAUAGCCUUUGGCCUCUGCAAUCGGAGAGAUUGAGGUCUGCAGCGUAGAUCCUUCGGGGUUAGAUACAUUUGUGCUAAGUUAUAGCCUUUCAUAGACAACUUGUUGACUAUGAUCAGUCAUGUAGCUUACUCGCUUAUGCUAUUUUACCUACGCUUAGGAUGUUGAAGUCAUCGUAUCGCGC
This 776-nucleotide ribosomal RNA is filed under the name uncultured Neocallimastigales. RNAcentral's name for it is "partial large subunit ribosomal RNA". It matches the Rfam family "Eukaryotic large subunit ribosomal RNA", at positions 24 to 645 of the family's 3401-position model. The record is from RNAcentral. Lineage: Eukaryota; Fungi; Neocallimastigomycota; Neocallimastigomycetes; Neocallimastigales.